This is a long non-coding RNA of Chrysoperla carnea, 1411 nucleotides long. RefSeq lists it as uncharacterized. NCBI's taxonomy places the organism in Eukaryota, Metazoa, Arthropoda, Insecta, Neuroptera, Chrysopidae. The record is from RefSeq and is a predicted model, not a curated record. The transcript is spliced from 4 exons.
UAACUCAGGCUCAAAUGAUGUUCAAAAAAUUCUUAUAUGAGAAACCGUUUUUGAUAUGCGACUGACCAAACCAAAAUUGAAGUCGAUUCGCGACAUCGUUUGAUCAGCGCACAAAAUAAAUGUCCAAGUUGGGUUCUAUUUAAAGAGUGCACCCUAAACAGUGCUAAAUUAUUAUAAACUUAUGAAAUAAUAAAAAUUUAAAAGAUACUUAAGUACUAUAAAACUCCGAUAUCCGACACCAUGCGAUUAAUCCACAACAUUGAUAGCCAUUCCAAAGUAUAUAUCCCAAAACCUUUAGCAUGUGUUGUAUUAAUGAUGGUUUGUUAAAAAUCCAUGUUGGGGAAAGUAUCCGUGUAGACACUCCAAGAUCGCCAGUAAAAGAGAGCGAUUUGAAUUGGUUUUAUUUUGAAGAAAACUUUUGAACAGGCCUGGCGGGAAUACAAAAUAAUAAAAAAAAAACAUAUAUACAUUCCCCCGGACUAAAGAAAAGCGAAUGCGGAUAUAGAAGUUUACAUAGAUUCUUAAUUUUGGAGUCACACAUUAUAAAAAAUAAAUUUUACAAUAGAGCUUAAGUUCUAGAAAAAAAUGGACGUAUAUUGUAAAUACUAGCCGACGUUAUGGUUUUGUUGCCUUUUGCCCGUAGUCUUACAAAUGUUGGGCUUGAAAAUUUGACGAUUUUGUAUGGACCAUUGAACUUUUGACGAAAUUUGGAUGAUUGAUCGAAUUUCGUAUUUGGUGCCAAGUUUUUUACCAUUACAUAUUGACCAACUCUGUAUUUUGAUGCUGCUGGCCUAUUAAGUGUUUUAUUAACUUGGUUUUGAUGAGCCAAUUUAAUUGCGUUUUCAAUUUGUUGCUUUGACGGGAUUUCAUUGCUUGUCAGUAAAUCCGUUAGUUCGUUUAUAAUGACCAAUGGCGUUAACAAUUCACGACCAAAAAAUGCCUGCGCUGGGGUGGCUUGUAAUACAUUUUUCCUUGUUGGAAGAUGGCGUAUAUGGGCUUGUGAAACAAAGUUUUAUCCCAUUGUUGAACAAAAACAUCUUAAAUUUGUGUGAAGUAAAUGCAGGUCCAUUGUCAGUUACUAUACAUCGUGGGUAUCCAUUGCGGAGAAAUAUGUCUUGUAAAAUUGAAAUUGCGGUAUCUGUUGUCUGAUUACGGCAUGAUUGUGCGAAGGGAAAUUUGGAAAACCCAUCUACGGCAGAAAAUAUAAAACGAUGGUUUUCUGGAGAUUUUACAAUUGGUCCUACAAAAUCGCAAAAGAUUGUGUCGAAGAUUGCAAGUGGAAUAUUUGAACUGAGCUUAAUUUUGUCGACCCGUGUAUAUGGCCGUGAUUCUUGACAAAUUUUGCAACUUGUGACAUAAUCUUUAACAAUGUUGUAUAAAUUUUUAAUAUAAAAUAUUUUUGAUAUUGUCC